RNAcentral lists this ribosomal RNA (460 nucleotides) under uncultured bacterium. RNAcentral's name for it is "partial 16S ribosomal RNA". It matches the Rfam family "Bacterial small subunit ribosomal RNA", at positions 338 to 795 of the family's 1533-position model. The record is from RNAcentral.
CCUACGGGUGGCAGCAGUGAGGAAUAUUGGUCAAUGGCCGAGAGGCUGAACCAGCCAAGUCGCGUGAGGGAAGACGGCCCUACGGGUUGUAAACCUCUUUUGUCGGGGAGCAAAGCGAGCCACGUGUGGUUCAUUGAGAGUACCCGAAGAAAAAGCAUCGGCUAACUCCGUGCCAGCAGCCGCGGUAAUACGGAGGAUUCGCGCGUUAUCCGGAUUUAUUGGGUGUAAAGGGAGCGUAGACGGCAUCGCAAGGCUGGAGUGAAAUCCCAUGGCUUAACCAUGGCACUGAGUUGGAAACUGGGCAGAGGGAGUGCAGGAGAGGUAAGCGGAAUUCGUAGUGUAGCGGUGAAAUGCGUAGAUAUUAGGAGGAACAUCAGUGGCGAAGGCGGCUUACUGGACUGUAACUGACGUUGAGGCUCGAAAGCGUGGGGAGCGAACAGGAUUAGAUACCCUAGUAGUC